Molecule: long non-coding RNA, 9871 nt
Filed under: Hordeum vulgare
Lineage: Eukaryota; Viridiplantae; Streptophyta; Magnoliopsida; Poales; Poaceae
Description: long non-coding RNA (HVUL_LNC005774)
Source: RNAcentral
GAUCCCUUGGAUGGACAAUAAUAGCCCUACCACCAGACUAAUUAAGUGGUUGUGUCAAAAUUGACAAAACAGCACAUCCACAAGUAUGAUAGAAGCUGGUGCGCUGGAGGCAAAAUUCCUAAAAAAAUUAUAAUAUGCACUGAUGGGGAUUUGAUCCCUGGACCUCUCAUUUGAAAAUAAGGUUGCUAGCCACUGCACUAAACUCUGUUACUAGCAUGAAAGGAAUUCGAAUGUAUAUCAACUAGCCAAGACGGGAACAAAUAUGAGCUGGUGCACCACAAAAGAAAAUGAAACAUAAAAUCUGGGGCGCACGGGAGUCGAACCGGGGACCUCCAUCACAGCAGUUGGCUGCGCUAGCCAACUCAGCUAGCCUACAACUCGUUGACACAACCAGUGCCCACUAUAGACAACAUGUCCUUGCUAGAACGGAUCUAGAGGAGACUGAAUUCAGAUCGGGAGGACUGCUCACAACGGGGAUGCAGAGGCCGACGGCGCGAUGCUUCGGCGAAGAUGGCGGACUCGGAGGCCGGGAAUGGAUAGGGGGGAACGGUCGGGUGCGGAUCCGGCUGGAAGGGCUACGACGGUGAGGUUCACGGUGACGAGACGGCAGCCAUGGGGCUCCUGCAGGUGCUGAUUCAGACAACUUCAGAGAAAAAAAAUUCAGAAAGAGGGGGAGAGCAGGGGAGGAAGAAGAAGAGGAGAGCGAGGCAUAGGGACCUGCUGCUGCAGCUGGUUGGUUCAUCGACGCAUCGGCUGAACGGGUGAGGAGAGCACGGGUCCAACCAUUCCCGGAGUCAGUCGGUGGCGGCGUGGUGCAGCUUGAGCAUCGGGCCCUGGUUGGAGCUCCUGCAGCACGAGAGGGAGCACAGGGUACGGUCAACAGCAAGUUGACUCAGCCGGCAGCGCGUGACGGCUUGAGAAACGAACGGGAAAGGCUCGGGAUGGGCAGAUCCCGGCUCGGGCCACCCAUUCCCGACGACGAGGGAUCUUGGGGAGGCGCGGACGGCGACCUCCAUCAAGGCGGCGACGGGUUCCUCUGCCCUUGUCAACGAGAGAAGAGAGAGCUUAGCAGAGAUGGGAGAAGAUAAAAGCAGAGAGGGUAAGGGAAGGAGAGGCUCCGACGUGCCGACCUGGGAGGUGGCCGAUGCCCAUGGCGAGGCUGCAGGGAGGCACCUGAGGUGGAGCCUGCCUCGCGAGUAGAGGAUCUCGGGAAGCUCGGGGUCGAUCCCCUGCUAGCGCCGCACGCUGCUUGGACGAGGUCGGGGUCACCGAUAGGCGCAGCUGGCGGAAGGGGUGCCGGUGCCCAACCGACACUAGCGGCGAGGUGCGCGCAGAUGGGGCCGCUGCUGCGUCCGUACUCUGCUGGCGGUGCUCCUCCGAAGAUGUUGCUGCAGUGCAACAGGGGGAGAGGAAUGAGACACAGCGAGCAGGAGGGAAGGGAGCAGAGGAACACAGGGAGGGGGGACGGAGAGGGACAUGGCCGACCUGGAGGCUGGGUGCUGCUACUGCGCGCGGAUGCCUGCGGGGAAGCGGCGGCUGCACGCGAGCGCUCUGUUGGGUGCGAACGUGCAACGAGGAGGAGGGGGGUUGGUCGGGAGGAGAUCCCGAGGGAGAUGGUGGCGGCGGCGCUGCGGGAAUUGGGGAGGGAAUGGAUGGGACAAGGAUCCUAGACUUUAGGGUUUGACUGCUUAAAUAGGUAGGUGGAUUUGGAUAGGGCUGAUCUGGACCCUCCGAUCUCGAUCGGACGAUCGAAAAUACCAUGUUAGGGGGUCCAAUGGACAAACCGAUGACAGUUUGCGGCAAAACGGGGUUGAGCCGGACCUAACGGUUACAACCGACCGGUUCGGGUUUACUGGAAGUUUUCGGACCAGGUUGCGCGUAGGGGCGAUGCACCGUGCAGAGGCACUAGACGGAGAUGACAUGGAAAAACAGGCAACCCGCUGACAGAGUUUAAAAUAUCGAAACGUCCGACAAUUGACCGGCUAUAGUGCCGCUAUAUAAUAAACGGCACGAGUGACAAACGAGCUACGAUCGCGAUGAAAUUUGACGGACGGCCUACCUACACUAAAUUAAUACCGCACGCCAAGUUCCAGCUCAAUCAGAGAAAUUUUUUCGCACACUUUAAAACAAGGUUUCGAUGAUGUCGCGGGCGCGUGCGUGUGCGGUCAGGCUCGGAACGCACAACGACGUUAACCGGCAACUAACAACGGAUGCAAGUUUUGAAAACUGGCGGCAACGGAGAUGCCGAUGCAAUGCAGAUGAUGCGAAUGAUGCAAUGAUGAUGCGACAAAUAAAAAUAGACACACGACGAAAACGGAAAGAAAGGGGAAUCUUCUGGAACGUCGGCAUCGGGCUGUCACAACUCUCCUACACUACAAGAGGAUCUCGCCCCGAGAUCCAAGAAUGAAAGGGGGGAGAGGAUGAGAAAGAACAAGAUGUAAAACUUCGUCGCUUCUUUGACAAACGAGUGAAAUCAAAGAUCCUUGAAGGUUGGAAAGAGAUGAGGAAUGAUAUGAGAAAGAAGCAAGAAUUCACGGAAAAUUUCGAAGCAGUUCGGUAGGAAAAUGGGACAAAAAAUUCGAUAAGAUGGAAGAAUUAGACAAUAUACAUAACCAACAACUAAAUAGAACAAGGGAACACCAUGAUCUUGGUAGAACAACAAGAUUGACCCAAAAGAGCAAUAACACAAUGCCUUCAGAAUAAGAGAAUAUGAACUAGCUCAAGCGGAAGAAGAGAAUGAAGAAAAGAAUGACAACUAACAUCACAAUAGAAUUGGAGAGCCUCCAGACAGAGAAUUGACGUAGUAGUUGGAAAACCUACAACGCAAAGAACAAGAUAGUAGUGGGCUUAUGAAAAUCAUCUCAACAAAUAUGAGGUUACAACCAACCACUACAAGAACCAAGGACAGAUGAGAGGAAAGAUAUGAAAACUUCUUACACCGAGAGGAUACAUUGAGAACUGAGAUUAAUGACAAGCACCAUGAUAGCACAAUCCCUAGGAAAGCUUUAGGUGAAAUCCAAACCAAGAUAGCUCAAUGAAGAAAUCAUGGGUUGAAAAUACCUCAUGAUCCUAGAGUCGGUGGAAUUAAUUAUCUCAUUCUUGAAAGGAAAUCUCUUCGAGGCUCCUACACUAACAAGAAGGCUAUAAUACCACCUCAAAGGAUAAAGGAAGAACAAUUGCACAUAGAAACGCAAGAGAAAGGAUACUUGAGGUUCUCCAAUACGAAUCUUGAAGAACACUUGAGAACGGAUAGAAACCUUGAUGAACCACCAAGAAGGACCUCUGUAUACCAAUGAACGAUUGAAAGAUACGAAUGUAGAAGGAUAUAAUAUUAUGACCUUGCCAAGAUUUAGAAGAAGCCUCACAAAGAGAUACUUAAAGGAACUUGGAACUCCGGAAAAGAAAGAUAAGAACACUUGAGAAAAGAAAUUGAUACCAACAGCCACUCCGGAAGAAGAAUUUUAAAAUCUCUUGGAAGAAGGAAGGACAAGAAUAAGAAUUAUGUUAUGCUCAUCCUUCAUCAAAUUAAACUGAUGACAAGCAACGGAUUUAGCGUACAACUUAUUCUUCUUGAAAGAAUCUUGAAGAGACAGAGAGAUAAGCACCACUUGAUGCAUAAUUGAAGGAAGCACCGGUAAGAAUUCACAAUUGAAUGGGAAUACCAAGAAAGCAUGGAUACACAUGAGAAUGAAGAGAUCAAGAUCCACCUGAGAGAGAAAUUUAAACAAGACACCAGAAUAAUUGAGAGAUGAACGAAGAGACAACAAUUGACAAGAUUUGAGGAUGAAAGCUGAAAGCUGAGAACGAAGAAUCUUCAGAAAUGAUGGCCUUCGGAGGAACGAGAAAUAAAAAAAACAACUCAAAAAUGCACCGGAUAGCAAGAAAGGGAUUACUCAUGAUUGAAAACAAAUUCAAGAUGAUAACACGAAGCUGAGAUGACAAUCUUCACAAGAAUGGAAAAAGACUGAGAGAAACACUCCUUCGAAUUUGCAAGCUAAGAAUGAUGAUGAGGAACAACACCAAGAAUAGCUGAGACCUCCGGAAUAAAGAAGAAUACAAGAUUGAGCCAAAUAUGAGAAUUAACUCCAAUUGAUCUUGAAGAAUGAAUAUGACUGAUGAAAAUCAUACUUACGUCAUAGUUGAAAAGAAUUAAAGAUCUCCGGAUGAUUAAAAGAGCCAGACAAGAUCGUGGGAAAACCUGUGGGUUAUGGGCCCACUCAAACAAACCACCGUUAGAAAAGAUUGCUUAGAAGAGAGAUAUUGCACCGGUAUAAAGAGAACUAGAUGAGGUUAGCACCUCGAAAUAACUAAAAGAAUUGAAAACAAGAAACUACUGAAAUAUCUUUAACACUCCGGAUAGAAAAGAGAGGAAUGAAUAACAAGAAGACUGAUAAGAAUUUCCAACAUGGGAAAGAAUUACAAGGAUAAAAGGGAUAUGAUGAACACGGAUAUCUGAAUUAAAUUCACCGAAAAAGAACAAAAUGAAGAAAUGAUGAACUCGACUCCUGAGAAUCUUCAUAAUGAAUCACCAGUUACGAAAGGAAGAAGAGAUAGCGGAAGCACAAUGAAAUGAAUGCGCUUGGAAAAAGGGCGGGAGGGCGGGGAAAAACAAAGACGACUUGGGGCAGAUGAGAUGAACUCCGGAUGGAAUAAGAGAAUGCUCUUGACAAAUUGGAGAGGAUUGAAUCCACUUGGAGAGAAACACACCGGUUGAAUGGAAUUGAUACGACGAUCUGAUUGAUCAAAGAAUUUGCAUUUCCAUAAAAAUAUGAGAACACAGAUUCGGAAAGAUCUGAAAUCACCACUUGACAUUGAAACAACUUGAAUUACCAUAGUUCAACAAAACAAAGGGUGUGGCUUACGAAACAAGCCAGAACAAACUCAUGAGAAAGAUUUCGUCCGAUAUUUUCGUGGACAGGAUCGCACGGGCUCGAUUUUACAGUAGCCAUCAAGUGCAAGGCAGUGCACCCGACAUACGAAGCGUCCCCGAGUCGUAGCAAGCUACAGGGACUCUUUAAGACACAACGUGUACUGCUGUAAGUCGACCGUGAACAAACGAAUCCAGUAGAUGUCGAACCCUAACCUAACAUCAUGCAUUUGUUGGAAGAAUGUCCUAUAAGUAACUACUUGAAUUCCCAUCUAUGAAUUCCCGAAAUAUCUGGUCAUGCAAUCUGGUACACGGAUACAAGGAGUAAUAUCACACAACUCCUAUACUAACCCGUCACUUGUAUCACAUCCGUCAACACACGACCAGAAUCACAGACCUUCAUCUACAGCAGACCCUCGUGAUCACAACGAUACAAAGUAUGGCAGUACCCCCGAACAAUCUGCACCAGUACUGGGGACAUCGGGGUUAUCUCGCCACUACUAGUAUUGAAGCAAUUACGAACAUCCUUCGUCCUGAGAUACCAAGAAAUCUGAAUGAUAAUGAUGUGCUCAAGAAUCCCCUGGAGCUCAACUCCCCGGAAGAAAAUCAAGUCAGACAGGAGGCACCAAGACAGAACUCCGUCACAUCGGCAUCAUAUAGAUCCGAAGAAUAUCCGCGUGAUCCUAAAACAAAUUUGAGUGAGAAGAGGAGUAGAAUAAAUUAUUACGUCAAGAUUCCUCAUCAGAGCAUAGAAGAGGAGAAAAAAGAGUCCUACUCUCCGAUAUAUAACUAGACUCAAAUAGUUUUUCACUAGACUCGACUCGGCCAAGUUCGAUCAAUCAAGGGGGCUCCUAGGUCGGUCCUUGCUCUGAUACCAACUUGUCACGCCCAAGAUGCGACCCUAUCCUCAAUUUGGUACGAGGGCCUCGUCAGGGAUAGAAGCGCAUCUCGUCGUGUCGCAAGAAUGGAUAUCGUUACAAGUACCUGUACUGAAAAGAAGAGAUAUAAGAAGAGUUGGCUUACACUCGCCACAAGCUACAUCAGAGUCACAUCAGUACAUUACAUAUUCAUCAAGAGUAAGAGCAGGGUCCGACUACGGACGAAAAUAAACGACAAAAGAAGAACGACGUCCAUCCUUGCUAUCCCAGGCUGCCGGCCUGGAACCCAUCCUAGAUCGAUGAAGAAGAAGAAGAAGCAACUUCAAAUGAACAAUCAACGCGCUCGCGUCACGUAACCUUUACCUGUACCUGCAACUGGUGUUGUAGUAAUCUGUGAGCCACAGGGGACUCAGCAAUCUCAUUUCCAAAGGUAUCAAGACUAGCAAAGCUUAAUGGGUGAGGCAUGGUUAAGUGGUGAGAUUGCAGCAGCGGCUAAGCAUAUAUAUGGUGGCUAACUUACGAGUACAAGAGAUAAGAGGGGGAAAAUCUACGCAUAACAGACGUGAACUACUGAUGAUCAAAUGAAUGAUCCUGAACACCUACCUACGUCAGACAUAACCCCACCGUGUCCUCGAUCGGAGAAGGAACUCACGAAAGAGACAGUCACGGUUACGCACACAGUUGGCAUAUUUUUAAUUAAUUAACUUCAAGUUAUCUAGAACCAGUGUUAAACAAAGUUUCCACGUUGCCACAUAACCGCGGGCACGGCUUUCCGAAAGAUUUAACCCUGCAGGGGUGCUCCAACUAGUCCAUCACAAAUUACCACAAGCCGCAUAGAAAUCCUCAAUCACGAAGCUCGCGAUCUCGUCGGAUUCCCUAGUGGAAAACCUCAACUCUGAGAUUACCCAAAGCAUCACCGGAAUCCCGAUGCACAAGAUAUCUCGUCAAAGGUAAAACUAAUCCAGCAAGGCCGCCCAACGUGUCGACGAUCCCGAUAGGAGUCGCGUACCUCGUUCUCAGGACACGUCGGAUGACCUAGACGUCGGGAUCGCUAAACCUCCGGGUGACCAGAGGGGCGCCGGACAUCGCUCAGGUGGGACCAACACUCAUGUGGAGCACUGGCCCGGGGGUUGAUUAAAUUAGUCCGCGGGUGCCGGCGGGUCCCUAUGCAUUAUUAUUAGGUUAUUAGGCAAAUGUAGUACCAAAGUUGGGCCUUGCCAGACCAGCUUUAAUCUAAAACGAAUUAUCAAGGGGGUCCCCAUAACAACCCCGAUCGUGUUAGGAGCGCUCAUAUAUGGAACAUAACACCGGUAGCCGAAACUAAGGGGGCAAAGGUGGAACAAAACACCAGGCUAGAAAAGCCGAGCCUUCCACCUUUUACCAAGUAUAUAGGUGCACUAAAUUAAAUAACAUAUAAUAUGGUGAUAUAACAAGGAACCCAUGCUUUCGCAUGGAAGCAUCUACACCUACAACUAGCAACGCUAACACAGGGUUAAGAAAGCGGUAACAUAGCCAAUCAGUGGUUUGCUAGGUCGAACAGGUUGAAGGUUAACAUGGCAUUGUUGAGGGGCUAAUAUUUAACAUGUGGUAGGAAACGAGACAUAAUCGAUAGAAACGGUAAAACUAGCAUGGCAAUGAUAGUAAUGGUAUCUGGGGAAAUGAUCAUCUUGCCUGAGAUCCCGCUUGGAAGAAGUAUGCCUCCGUGAAGCAGACGAACCGACGUAGUCGAACGGUCCUCACAUCCGACACGCUUGCGGAACUCUAUCGAGCAGGAGGAAACCGGAAACAAGCAUCAACACACGAGAAUCACCACACGAUGCAAGACACAUAUGAUGCACGAACAGUCUAAUGCAAGGCAUGACAAUCACAACAAUCAAACACUACACAUUAAGUGAAGCUCGAUAUGCAACGAGUUGCAUAUCGACGAAACUCCACGUCUAAUUAUUUAGUUCACUCCCGUUCAGGUACACGGAUAUAUUAAAUGUUGGUAAACAUGGCACGAGGGUGAAGCACAAAUUAAUCUACCUAGCUAGGCAUUUUAAAUGAGAUCGGAAACGACAUAUAGCAUCUCCGAAAUAACCCCAUGUGUUAAAUCUUAAUUCUGUCCAGAUUUGUCCUAAUCACAUUUUAGGUUUGUUAAACGGCAAAACAAAGUGGUUCACGUGUUUCUACUCGUCGUUCUGGCCCAUCUACAUAUAUGGCACAUCUCCAAGAGAGAUACGGUUAAAUAGUUACGACCCAAACCGUUUAUAUUACGUCGACAUGCAAACCGAAGCAAAACAGCACACCUAACAGUUUUAAAUAUGCAUGGGAGAAGGUUAUUGUGAAACUACAGAAAAUUCUAAGCAACUUACAUGUUGAAAUCAUUUUAAACCGGUGCACGGUUAGAUGUAUACGAAUUUUACAAAAGGGCAUAUGAAUAUGUUCAAAAAAUAAAAAAAAAUGGAAUUGCUAGGAUUUGAACCCCAGAUCCCUUGGAUGGACAAUAAUAGCCCUACCACCAGACUAAUUAAGUGGUUGUGUCAAAAUUGACAAAACAGCACAUCCACAAGUAUGAUAGAAGCUGGUGCGCUGGAGGCAAAAUUCCUAAAAAAAUUAUAAUAUGCACUGAUGGGGAUUUGAUCCCUGGACCUCUCAUUUGAAAAUAAGGUUGCUAGCCACUGCACUAAACUCUGUUACUAGCAUGAAAGGAAUUCGAAUGUAUAUCAACUAGCCAAGACGGGAACAAAUAUGAGCUGGUGCACCACAAAAGAAAAUGAAACAUAAAAUCUGGGGCGCACGGGAGUGGAACGGGGACCUCCAUCACAGCAGUUGGCUGCGCUAGCCAACUCAGCUAGCCUACAACUCGUUGACACAACCAGUGCCCACUAUAGACAACAUGUCCUUGCUAGAACGGAUCUAGAGGAGACUGAAUUCAGAUCGGGAGGACUGCUCACAACGGGGAUGCAGAGGCCGACGGCGCGAUGCUUCGGCGAAGAUGGCGGACUCGGAGGCCGGGAAUGGAUAGGGGGGAACGGUCGGGUGCGGAUCCGGCUGGAAGGGCUACGACGAUGAGGUUCACGGUGAUGAGACGGCAGCCAUGGGGCUCUUGCAGGUGCUCAUUCAGACAACUUCAGAGAAAAAAAAUUCAGAAAGAGGGGGAGAGCAGGGGAGGAAGAAGAAGAGAAGAGCGAGGCAUAGGGACCUGCUGCUGCAGCUGGUUGGUUCAUCGACGCAUCGGCUGAACGGGUGAGGAGGGCAUGGGUCCAACCAUUCCCGGAGUCAGUCGGUGGCGGCGUGGUGCAGCUUGAGCAUCGGGCCCUGGUUGGAGCUCCUGCAGCACGGGAGGAAGCACAGGGCGCGGUCAAUAGCAAGUUGACUCAGCCGGCAGCGCGUGACGGCUUGAGAAACGAACGGGAAAGGCUCGGGACGGGCAGAUCCCGGCUCGGGCCACCCAUUCCCGACGACGAGGGAUCUUGGGGAGGCGCGGACGGCGACCUCCAUCAAGGCGGCGACGGGUUCCUCUGCCCUGGUCAACGAGAGAAGAGAGAGCUUAGCAGAGAUGGGAGAAGAGAAAAGCAGAGAGGGUAGGGGAAGGAGAGGCUCCGACGUGCCGACCUGGGAGGUGGCCGAUGCCCAUGGCGCGGCUGCAGGGAGGCACCUGAGGUGGAGCCUGCCUCGCGAGCAGAGGAUCUCGGGAAGCUCGGGGUCGAUCCCCUGCUAGCACCGCACGCUGCUUGGACGAGGUCGGGGUCACCGAUAGGCGCAGCUGGCGGAAGGGGUGCCGGUGCCCAACCGACACUAGCGGCGAGGUGCGCGCAGAUGGGGCCGCUGCUGCGUCCGUACUCUGCUGGCGGUGCUCCUCCGAAGAUGUUGCUGCAGUGCAACAGGGGGAGAGGAAUGAGACACAGCGAGCAGGAGGGAAGGGAGCAGAGGAACACAGGGAGGGGGGACGGAGAGGGACAUGGCCGACCUGGAGGCUGGGUGCUGCUACUGCGCGCGGAUGCCUGCGGGGAAGCGGCGGCUGCACGCGAGCGCUCUGUUGGGUGCGAACGUGCAACGAGGAGGAGGGGGGUUGGUCGGGAGGAGAUCCCGAGGGAGAUGGUGGCGGCGGCGCUGCGGGAAUUGGGGAGGGAAUGGAUGGGAC